UCAUCAAAGCUUGCUUUGAUGGAUGGCGACCGGCGCACGGGUGAGUAACACGUAUCCAACCUGCCGACAACACUGGGAUAGCCUUUCGAAAGGAAGAUUAAUACAAGAUGGCAUCAUGAGUCCACAUGUUCACAUGAUUAAAGGUAUUCCGGUAGACGAUGGGGAUGCGUUCCAUUAGGUUGUUGGCGGGGUAACGGCCCACCAAGCCUUCGAUGGAUAGGGGUUCUGAGAGGAAGGUCCCCACAUUGGAACUGAGACACGGUCCAAACUCC
RNAcentral lists this ribosomal RNA (272 nucleotides) under uncultured Bacteroides sp. RNAcentral's name for it is "partial 16S ribosomal RNA". It matches the Rfam family "Bacterial small subunit ribosomal RNA", at positions 70 to 339 of the family's 1533-position model. The record is from RNAcentral. Lineage: Bacteria; Pseudomonadati; Bacteroidota; Bacteroidia; Bacteroidales; Bacteroidaceae.